Long non-coding RNA from Elaeis guineensis (African oil palm), 320 nucleotides. RefSeq lists it as uncharacterized. The record is from RefSeq and is a predicted model, not a curated record. NCBI's taxonomy places the organism in Eukaryota, Viridiplantae, Streptophyta, Magnoliopsida, Arecales, Arecaceae.
GUCCAACCCUCCUCAUCCAACUAUGCCCUGGAUUUAUUUAGAGAGAACCAAGCAAUUCUAGUACGACACGAAUGAAUCAAAUGAUCAGCAGUUUUGGGAAUCCUCAAAAGGCAAGAAGGUACUUGGCGGCCAGCCCAGGGGAGAGGUUAAAGGUAAUUAUUGAUGAUGUGGUAUGAGUGAAAGAAUGCAGGAGAGUAGAGCUACAGUCUGUACCUUUCUUCACUUCGAAUAUGUGUUUCAAUUUCUUUGGAGUGGGGUAGGUUCUUGUAACGAGUUAGGACAUGAGCACAUCCAACAUUUUGUACAAUUACUUCUAAUAA